AACGAACGCUGGCGGCAUGCCUAACACAUGCAAGUCGAACGAGACCUUCGGGUCUAGAGGCGCACGGGUGCGUAACGCGUGGGAACCUGCCCUUAGGUUCGGAAUAACUCCCCGAAAGGGGUGCUAAUACCGGAUAAUGUCUUCGGACCAAAGAUUUAUCGCCUUUGGAUGGGCCCGCGUUGGAUUAGCUAGUUGGUAGGGUGAAAGCCUACCAAGGCGACGAUCCAUAGCUGGUCUGAGAGGAUGAUCAGCCACACUGGGACUGAGACACGGCCCAGACUCCUACGGGAGGCAGCAGUGGGGAAUAUUGGACAAUGGGCGAAAGCCUGAUCCAGCAAUGCCGCGUGAGUGAUGAAGGCCUUAGGGUUGUAAAGCUCUUUUACCCGGGAUGAUAAUGACAGUACCGGGAGAAUAAGCUCCGGCUAACUCCGUG
Molecule: ribosomal RNA, 433 nt
Filed under: uncultured bacterium
Lineage: Bacteria
Description: partial 16S ribosomal RNA
Rfam family: Bacterial small subunit ribosomal RNA
Source: RNAcentral